RNAcentral lists this ribosomal RNA (253 nucleotides) under uncultured bacterium. Its description in RNAcentral is "partial 16S ribosomal RNA". It matches the Rfam family "Bacterial small subunit ribosomal RNA", at positions 524 to 776 of the family's 1533-position model. The record is from RNAcentral.
UACGUAGGGUCCGAGCGUUGUCCGGAAUUCCUGGGCGUAACGAGCUCGUAGGUGGUUUGUCACGUUGUUCGUGAAAACCCACAGCUCAACUGUGGGCGUGCGAGCGAUACGGGCAGACUAGAGUACUGCAGGGGAGACUGGAAUUCCUGGUGUAGCGGUGGAAUGCGCAGAUAUCAGGAGGAACACCCAUGGCGAAGGCAGCUCUCUGGCUUCACCCUGACGCUGAGGCGCGAAAGCGUGGGGAGCGAACGGG